UACGGAGGUGGCAAGCGUUGCUCGGAAUCACUGGGCGUAAAGGGCGCGUAGGCGGGGAGGUAAGUCGGGUGUGAAAUCCCUCGGCCCAACCGAGGAACUGCGCCCGAGACUGCUUCUCUUGAGUCCCGGAGAGGAAGAUGGAAUUCCCGGUGUAGCGGUGAAAUGUGUAGAGAUCGGGAGGAACACCGGUGGCGAAGGCGGCUUCCUGGACCGACACUGACGCUGAGGCGCGAAAGCUAGGGGAGCAAACGGG
This 253-nucleotide ribosomal RNA is filed under the name uncultured bacterium. RNAcentral's name for it is "partial 16S ribosomal RNA". It matches the Rfam family "Bacterial small subunit ribosomal RNA", at positions 524 to 776 of the family's 1533-position model. The record is from RNAcentral.